Molecule: long non-coding RNA, 792 nt
Organism: Vespula pensylvanica (western yellowjacket)
Lineage: Eukaryota; Metazoa; Arthropoda; Insecta; Hymenoptera; Vespidae
Exons: 5
Source: RefSeq, a predicted model, not a curated record
GAGAGAGGCGUAGGUUAAAACCCUUUAGUCUGGACCACAGCACCGACGGGUCUACGCUCGGAGUUUUCUGUUUCACAGCACUUUAACGUAGGACGAGAAAUAAAUUUUAGCCACGGCCACCUCUUAGCGAAAGGUUCGGCAAAGGAGGUCUGAUCAACAGAGAUACUUAAAAAGUAACAUUGUUCGAUAAUUCUCAUCGGUGACUUUGGGAGAAACUUUGAAUUGUGAAUCGUUGGAUGGCGUAGAAAGGAAUCGAGCCAGUGCAGAGCAGACACAGACCAAAAGCGGCUUGGGUGGAGCCUCGUCGUUGACGUCAUCAGACGUACAGACAAACGGCACAGAUGUAGAAACCAAUGCGCGUGGAGAGAGUCCAGAAUCGUGCGAUAACCGGUGGCCACGGAGUAGUUCGGAAUAGUAGUCGGUGGGGAAGUUGUAUCGGCACCUAGUGGCACGACCACAGGAGGGUGGUGGAGAAGAGAGGAUUGGGGUUGCUGGGAGAAGAGAAAGAGGCAACGGAGGAUGCGGAGAUGGCGGAGGGAUGGUCGCAGCAGCAGCAGCAGCAGCAGCAGCAGCAGUAGUAGCAGCAGCAGUAGUAGCAGCAGCAGCAGCAGCAUCCACGCUUGCCUACCGCUGAAGCCCGACCACCACAGAGCCACCCCUCCUUCUCCACCCCCUCGAACAAUCCCAACGGUGUCCGCCUCUCAUGUUGCAAGCCACGGCCAGCCGACAACCUCUACCACAGCAAUCCUAAAUGCAACUAACUUUGAGAGAGAGAGAGAGAGAGAGAGAGAG